RNAcentral lists this long non-coding RNA (327 nucleotides) under Mytilus galloprovincialis (Mediterranean mussel). The record is from RNAcentral. Lineage: Eukaryota; Metazoa; Mollusca; Bivalvia; Mytilida; Mytilidae.
CAAUAUAUAAAGUAUACUAUAUGUCUGACAAAAAAAUAAAAGUUAUACAACCACUCAAAAUAUUAAGACAAGAGAUCAGAACUUUUAUUGAAAUAAGAAACUUUUUAGGAUAUAAAAUUGACAGACUAUUAAAGCAAUUUAAUGAACUGAAUGUCUGACUAGGACAUAAUGAAUGAUGACUGGAAAAAUAAUACCUCACCCAAAUACAGAGAUUAUCAGUACUGUAAUUUUCUUCAAACAUUGCACAGGUAUAAUUACCUGUUUAUCAUAUGUAUAUACAUGUAAAUAUUUGAAAUAUUGAGAUUAUACUGUAAUUUUUCUUCAAAC